CGUCAGAGGGAGGAGCUUCACCGUUUGACUGAACACUAGUAGAAAAGUGCUCAGGUUUGUGUUGGUACGCCUCAACAUGUCCACUGAUCCUGAGGCCGGACCACAACCCCAUCCAGAUGUGAGACGGAGCCCAGAAAUCCAAGAGGAAAGUGAAGAUCCAGGUGAAGUGUGUGAGAGAGCACAACUGAAGGGAGGGCGUGUUGUGAUUGGUCGUCCAGUCGUCAGGAGAAGCCGGUGCUGCAGCGUUCCUGCACUGAUUCAACAUCUGCUGAUGGUUCUGUUGGGUCUGGUUCUGGGUGGACUCUCCGCACAAUAUAUUUUUGUCACUGUGGAAAGAGAAAACCUGCUGCUGAAAAAACAGCAGUUCCAGAACAUCAUGAAUGAAGCGAUCCACACCAUGACUGAAGUGAAAAACAUUAUAAAUAAAGUGAUCAACACCACGACUGAAGUGAAAAAAUCCAUAAAUAAAGUGAUCAACAUCCUAAAAGAAGUGAACAACAACAUAAAUGAACCGAACAACAUCACAGAUGAAGUGGAAAAUAUCAUAAAUGAACUGAACACCAUUACUGAGCUAAGUACGAAGUAUAAUCAACUCAACAUCACUAUGAAGGAGAGGGACGAAACUAUUGAGAGUCUGAGACAGCCAUUGAGAGCAGCUUGUAAAUGCCCAAUGUAGAAAGAAAAAUGUAGACAAACUGAACCUAAAAGUAUCAUCAUGUUGUUUUAGUGUUAAAUCAAGGUUGUCUGGUUCGUCUUAUCAUGUGAUUUUUAACAUAUUCUGGAUGGGUGGGUAGGUAGGUAGGUAGGUAGGUAGGUAGGUAGGUAGGUAGAUAGAUAGAUAGAUAGAUAGAUAGAUAGAUAGAUAGAUAGAUAGAUAGAUAGAUAGAUAGAUAGAUAGAUAGAUAGAUAGAUAGACAGACAGACAGACAGACAGACAGACAGACAGACAGACAGACAGACAGACAGACAGACAGACAGACAGACAGACAGACAGACAGACAGACAGACAGACAGACAGUUAUCAGCGUCACCAUGCAGCCAUUUGGAAAAACAGUGACUGGAAGAAUCUGCAGAAAUAGUUCAAUACUUUGUCUUUUUCUUGUGUAUUUUUGUGUAUUUUUACUUGUACUCAUACGACUGUUGGGGCUGUUUUUACAUUUUCUCUGUAUUUUUGUUUUUAACCAACAGUGUUUUCUUUUUAUUUGUCUGUGUUCAUGAUUUCUUUGUGGGAUUCUGUUUUUUUUUUGCCUGAUGCACGUCCAUCCUCGUAAAUCAAACAAUUCAACUUCUUUCCAGUUCUCCUUCAACAGAACGUUCUUUUUUUGCUCUUUGUCCUCAGUCAUUGUAGAGCAGACAGAGGUUUAGAAAAAUAACAAAGAUUAUGUGAAGAAUUAACAAAUGAGGAGAAUCACAACAGACAAAAACAGCAGAAAAUGGUUCACGGCCUGGAUGCAGAGGCUGUGCCGUCCUGUCGAGCCAGAACACCGGACGCCGGAGCCACGCCCGAGGAUAGGCGCACAGUUCGGGCUCUGCGUCCGGCCCCAGACGGCCCUCGAGCUCGAACCACGACCUAAGAACCACAAUACGUCCCCAACUGUGGAUAACCUGUACCGCUGCAUCCCUGUUGUUCACCGCUCUUAAUAGUUCCAGGUAAUAUCCAGGGUCCAACAGGUGAGCGUAGGUCUGCUACCAUACUGCUACUCUGUCUCUGGGCACUGAGUUCCUUAUAGAUUUCUCUCUUAUUUGCGAGAAUUCAAGCCUAAAACACUGAUAAAAGUAACAAACAUCUCCCAUCUGUCUCUCAUCGAUAACAAAGGGCCAACUUGUGUGGAAAGUUUGACGACAGAUUUACACACAUAUACAAAUAUACAGACAUUUAGAGGACAUCUACAGAUACAACUAUCAAUCAACUCUAGAAACCACAAACAUACACAUGGGUUCUUCUGUGAAACUGGGUUUAUUUUAGUACCUGUCACUUUUCCAUCUGUUUAGACCCAAUAAUAAAAGGUACAUGUAGACAUACCCCCCCCCCCCCCCCAGGAUGAACCUAAUGAUGACCUCAGAGAAAUGUAAAUAAAAUUAUCCUCUUGCUCUGAUCCAUCCCAUAAUUAAUGAAUUUAUAAUCAAAUAUUGGGUCCAAAAAAAGGACCCAAAUAUGGACAUUAAAUCUCCCUAGGUGUCAGUGCAUUAGAUGUGUAAACAUGUGUAAAUGCUCUUCUAUAGACUCUAAAUACAGACGCUGUGUUCAAUAUGUGGAUCCUGGUGGUUUUUCUAAUCCACACAUGUGGGUUUGGCAUCAGUCUCAGUCGCAUUCCAGGUUUGGUGUGGAACCCAUCGUGUCCACUGGUGUUACAUACAGAACCUGAACAUUUAAACACUAAUAAAUCGUCAAUGGUUUGACAAAAGUGGUCAUUUUUGUCAAACACUCUGCCUUGAAUAUUUACUACGAUUCCCAAAAUGCACCUGUGAGAGAAUAAAAGAUAUUCGAAAAAAUAGUAGUGUGUAAAUUUUGUGUCCUUUUGACCGUUACAUGCAGAUUUAUGUAGAAAAUUUAUGUAAAAAUAAUAUAAAAUGUGUUUUAUCUGAAAAAUAGUUUCCCAAACCUGCCUCAGAACAUUCGUCUGCAUCUGGUUUGAAUUUUUAGCCUCUGUCCUGUUUUUAGGACCAGUUUCAGAGAAGAACCCAGAUAAAAAAAGAGGAAGAAAGGAGAAAAACAACAGCCAAACUCGUCCAAACCCACUAGUAGGACACUCCAAAACAGCACUAUCACUAUUAUAUCCAAUAGUAUAUAAUAGUAAAUAAUUGUAAAUAAUUGUAUAUAUGAGAAUUCAAGCCUAAAACGCUGAUAAAAGUCAUAAACAUCUUCCAUCUGUCCUUCAUCGAUAACGGAGGCCGACUUGUGUGGAAAGUUUGACUAAAUCUAAAACCACAGAUCCUAUCAGAGUCCUGCGCCUUCACAUGUCACACAAACACCAUCUGAUCUGGUUUCUUCUGCCACGUCUUCGAUGUUCUGAUAAAAGUCUGAAGUAAAAAGAGGGUGAGGCUGGUUUAACGCUGCAGACGUCCACAGAUACCGGACCGACGGUGAGUAUUCAACUCCACAUCAUCAUUCUAUUAUCAGUCAAACACAGUAUGUCGACUCACUGAUGCUGUUUUCAUGUUCCUGUAACGUUUCAGAAACUGUUUUACCAGAACUUACGAUGUUUUACCAAACACUAAAACUGAACGUAUUUUAUAGCAGCACGACACUGUUUGAAAAUGGUGAAUGUGUCGUCAAAUUUUCCAUCGUCCUUCUUAAAAAAUGCGAAGUAUCUCGUGCGUCUCCUCUUCAGUCGUCGUCUCCUUCCCUUCACUGUUUAUUAACAAACUGACUUCAGAUACUGAUGGUGCGUUCAAGGCACCUGGGAAACACGGGCGCAGAGGAGAUCGACUGUGUAAUAAGCAAUGUGACCGUGGGUUUUACCGACGCAGACAAGCUAAUAAAGAUACUUUUACUGUUGUUUUUGUCAGUUUAAAGUACGUCUGCGGGUCAAACUCUCACUGCAGUUUAUAUUAGUUUGAGUCACCUUCACAGCUUUUUAGUUUUCUUUUUUUUAGUUUUUUAGUUUUUACUUGUUUGCUCGCUUGUCUGUUUGGUUUGAUGAUGCCUAUGUCAUCAUUAUGUGUAUUUUGAAAUUUUUAAUUUAGAGCAAACGAGUGCUGUAUUAAUGUGUGUUUUAUGUCUCGUUUCUGUCACCUGCCUCUGACCGCAGAAGAAAAUGAAUUAUUUUUACUAAUUCGGGCACAUUUACAUGGGUGUAGUGUUCAUAAAUAUGCAUGGUCCCUAUUAAAUAAACCACUAAAUACAAAUAAAUACAAACUCUGGGCUUUUUACUCGUUUUUUAGACCAAAUAAUACAGGACUAUUUUUGUCUAGUUUCAGUCGAAGAAAACUGAUGACUUUUUAGUUUUGUUUCAGUCGAUGAAAACAGUAUUUUAGUCUUUCAAUUAUUGCUGAACUCCAAGAAAUGUGAGAGUUAUAAAGAGUUGUUUGUAGACUUUCCAAAAAACUCCAAUCAGUCUCCCCACUCUGAGAGCUAGUGCGUAGAGCAGGGCUGUCAAACAUGAGUCCCAGGGCCCAAUGUGUCCCCCCAAAGGUUCCAAUCCGAC
Molecule: long non-coding RNA, 4148 nt
Filed under: Sphaeramia orbicularis (orbiculate cardinalfish)
Lineage: Eukaryota; Metazoa; Chordata; Actinopteri; Kurtiformes; Apogonidae
Description: lncRNA (ENSSORG00005019930.1)
Source: RNAcentral